Molecule: ribosomal RNA, 253 nt
Filed under: uncultured bacterium
Lineage: Bacteria
Description: partial 16S ribosomal RNA
Rfam family: Bacterial small subunit ribosomal RNA
Source: RNAcentral
UACGGGGGGGGCAAGCGUUGUUCGGAAUUACUGGGCGUAAAGGGCUCGUAGGUGGCCAACUAAGUCAGACGUGAAAUCCCUCGGCUUAACCGGGGAACUGCGUCUGAUACUGGAUGGCUUGAGUUUGGGAGAGGGAUGCGGAAUUCCAGGUGUAGCGGUGAAAUGCGUAGAUAUCUGGAGGAACACCGGUGGCGAAGGCGGCGUCCUGGACCAACACUGACGCUGAGGAGCGAAAGCCAGGGGAGCAAACGGG